This is a long non-coding RNA of Oreochromis aureus, 485 nucleotides long. The record is from Ensembl. Lineage: Eukaryota; Metazoa; Chordata; Actinopteri; Cichliformes; Cichlidae.
GAAUGACGUCACAUUUUCAAUCUCUAUCCUGGUGGGCCGGUCUCUAGUCAAAAUGCCCGGGCCGAUUUUUUUGUCCCAGUCCAGCCCUGCCUACACGGGUAUUUUUGAAAACGCAGCUGUUUCUAUGCGUUUGGGCUUUUCGUCAACACGUAAACGGCGUUGCGAUUCACCGAAAACGGAGAUUAUUUAAAACUCCUUUUUUGCGUUUACGUGUGGACGAGGAUUACAGAGUUCGUCACGCAACGUCAAAGUUUUACUGAAGCAUGUGGACAACAACAAAGAAGAGUGCUGACGAGUGAGCUGCUGUCAAGUGAGCUGAUCAUAUGAUCUACCACCCACUGAACUGUCUCAGCAUCCAGACACAGAUCUAAACUAAACUCAACAGUUUACAUGAAACAUUUACAUUAGAGACAGAUUAAUGCUCCAAGGAAGGCACACACAACGCACUUGUUCUCUUUUCAGUGUUAAGGGAAAGAGACAUCUGU